UCCCUGGUGGCUAAUAUAGUAAAGAAUCUGCCUGCAAUGCAGAAGACCCAGGUUCAAUCCCUGGGUUGGGAA
This 72-nucleotide transfer RNA is filed under the name Ovis aries (sheep). It matches the Rfam family "tRNA". Rfam says of the family: Transfer RNA (tRNA) molecules are approximately 80 nucleotides in length. Lineage: Eukaryota; Metazoa; Chordata; Mammalia; Artiodactyla; Bovidae. The record is from Rfam by way of RNAcentral.